UGCGUCACCCGCCCGCACCUGGGUGGUUCGAAAAGGGGGAUCGAUUCUAUGGAGAAAGCCUCUCCGUUCCAAGCCACCUGGUCGUGGCGAGCGUUCAUCGCCUGC
RNAcentral lists this small RNA (105 nucleotides) under Pseudomonas knackmussii B13. RNAcentral's name for it is "Pseudomonas PA5194 thermometer". It matches the Rfam family "Pseudomonas PA5194 thermometer". Rfam says of the family: Identified in genetic Tet-Tap screening, no obvious similarities to known RNATs. Lineage: Bacteria; Pseudomonadati; Pseudomonadota; Gammaproteobacteria; Pseudomonadales; Pseudomonadaceae. The record is from Rfam by way of RNAcentral.